This 505-nucleotide ribosomal RNA is filed under the name uncultured Geobacter sp. Its description in RNAcentral is "bacterial SSU rRNA". It matches the Rfam family "Bacterial small subunit ribosomal RNA", at positions 335 to 831 of the family's 1533-position model. The record is from RNAcentral. Lineage: Bacteria; Pseudomonadati; Thermodesulfobacteriota; Desulfuromonadia; Geobacterales; Geobacteraceae.
ACUCCUACGGGAGGCAGCAGUGGGGAAUUUUGCGCAAUGGGCGAAAGCCUGACGCAGCAACGCCGCGUGAGUGAUGAAGGCUUUCGGGUCGUAAAGCUCUGUCAAGGGGAAAGAAGUGUAUUUUGGCUAAUAUCCUUAAUACUUGACGGUACCCCUAAAGGAAGCACCGGCUAACUCCGUGCCAGCAGCCGCGGUAAUACGGGGGGUGCAAGCGUUGUUCGGAAUUAUUGGGCGUAAAGCGCGUGUAGGCGGUCUGAUUAGUCUGAUGUGAAAGCCCUGGGCUCAACCCAGGAAGUGCAUUGGAUACUGUCAGACUUGAAUACGGGAGAGGGUAGUGGAAUUCCUAGUGUAGGAGUGAAAUCCGUAGAUAUUAGGAGGAACACCGGUGGCGAAGGCGGCUACCUGGACCGAUAUUGACGCUGAGACACGAAAGCGUGGGUAGCAAACAGGAUUAGAUACCCUGGUAGUCCACGCCGUAAACGAUGAGAACUAGGUGUCGCGGGUA